Molecule: ribosomal RNA, 200 nt
Filed under: uncultured bacterium
Lineage: Bacteria
Description: partial 16S ribosomal RNA
Rfam family: Bacterial small subunit ribosomal RNA
Source: RNAcentral
AGAGUUUGAUCAUGGCUCAGAACGAACGCCAGCGGCGUGGAUUAGGCAUGCAAGUCGAACGUGAUCCGUAGCAAUACGGUGAAAGUGGCGGAAGGGUGAGUAAUGCAUAGAUAACCUGCCCCCGAGUCUGGGAUAACUCCGGGAAACUGGAGCUAAUACCGGAUGGGGUCGCUGGACCGCAUGGUUUAGCGACUAAAGGA